RNAcentral lists this ribosomal RNA (362 nucleotides) under uncultured eukaryote. Its description in RNAcentral is "partial 18S ribosomal RNA". It matches the Rfam family "Eukaryotic small subunit ribosomal RNA", at positions 592 to 976 of the family's 1831-position model. The record is from RNAcentral.
CAAUAGCAUAUAUUAACGUUGUUGCAGUUGAAAAGCUCGUAGUUGAACUUUUGGUAGGAGCGACCUGGCCUUGGGCGCAUGCCCUUGUUUGCCGUGUGUCGUAUCUGGCCAUCCUUUUCUUCUUUUUGGAAGGAAUCUUUUACUGUGAGUAAACUGGAGUGCUCAAAACAAGACGUUUGUUUGGUACAUUAAAGCAUGGAAUAAUAAGAUAGGACCUGGUUACUAUUUUGUUGGUUUGCAUAGCUAGGUAAUGAUUAACAGGGACAGUUGGGGGUAUUCGUAUUUAAUUGUCAGGGGUGAAAUUCUUGGAUUUAUGAAAGACGAACGACUGCGAAAGCAUUUACCAAGGAUGUUUNCAUUAA